RNAcentral lists this microRNA (22 nucleotides) under Rattus norvegicus (Norway rat). Its description in RNAcentral is "Rno-Mir-450-P1b_3p* (star (passenger))". Lineage: Eukaryota; Metazoa; Chordata; Mammalia; Rodentia; Muridae. The record is from RNAcentral.
AUUGGGGACGCUUCGCAUUCAU